UAAGAUUUUAAUUUGGUCUUCAUCUGUUAAUUUCUUUUCUGUGUGUAAAUUAAAAAGAUAUCUCGUUACUCACUAGAGGUGCUUUGUAUUCAAUAUAUCCCCAAGUCUUAAUUAUUUGUACUUCUUUAAUUGCCACCGGUAACGCGAUAAGCCAUCGAUUCUUUUGACUUAACGAAACAGCUCUUAUUAAUAUCCAGUUCUUUGUUUAACCCACGAUCAACAUUUAUCACAUCAAGGCACACAGCCUGAGAUUGAAGUAGAAAAGUGAUGCGACCAAUUUAGGAAAAUGUCCGAAAAAUUCCCCCAUCAUACGUGUAAGUGGUCUUUGAUCACAGAAAUCCCCCAUUCUAUGCUCAUGUAUUUCCCAUGUGAACAACAAGGGCAGUCACCUUUGCCCUUUACUAAAAAUGUAUGCAUUUAUUCUAGAGUGAAGUGCAGCUAUGAUACACGUGGUCUUCUUCUGUAUCUCUUAUAGCGCAAAGAUAGCUAACUGUGUAUCACUAGAUAGCGACUGUAAGAGUAUAAUAGAUGCUAUGUUCCUAUCUUUGUGUGGAUUCCAAAUAAAAUCAAAUUAUCAGCCUUUUCCCCGGCAAGAAAUUUUGAAAGACAAAUCUUUCGUUAUGUUUACUAAAGCCAAAAACGCCAUUUUAACGAAAACAAGCGAAAUAAAGGCUGUAUUUACCAGUACUUGUAAGCAUUCGCCCCCGUAAUUGUAUACCUAGAUAGAAUGUGGAAAGAAAGGAUAUUUUUGUAUUUGCAUUAGAUUUUUCAUAGAAUGAUUCUGAAAAUCGAAAAAAUGGCUGUGAUUUCCGCUUUUUAACGCUAAAAUUUACUUUUCACGAAAUAUCUCCUGAAAACUUUUGGGAAUUCUAGGCAGUGGUGGUUACGUGUUGCCGAUUUACCGAGUCCGGUACAAUCACCGGUCAACAGAGGAUCAUUGGCAUCACAAAUCGUCCCUCAAAACAAACUAGCGAUGCAAAUCUUGGAAGUGAUUCUUUUAUUCAUUAAAUAUUCAUAGAGAGACUUGACUGACGCCUACAAACUGAUGCUUGGUCAAAGAGUUAAACAAAGCCAAGAGGGGAGUCUUGCUUCUCUAUGUUUGGAACACGUUGAAAACAGCUGCAAAUCAGUCGAUUAAAAAAAUGCAUAAAGUUAGAUGACUCUUCAAACGUCCCUACAGUUGUUUGGAAAUUGUGAAGUUUACACAGCGCAUGCGCAGGACACUGGGAUGUGAAAUUCUAGGCUUUUAAAGGUGUUUCCGUGUAGCAGUYAAGGCAGGCUUGGCACAUUCCUGCCUUGUACCUCUGUGGUCUGUGAGGUGUUUGACGUAGUUUUGGCAGAGAACGAAAGGAGAAACCCUGGCCAAACUUGGCCAUAUUGAUUAUUCAUUCAUGGUUUAUUUUAAAGCUCAGAAACAUCUGCUUCACCUAUUUAAAUCUCUACAAACAAAAGAAAUCUAAUUCACUGCAUGGCGUGGUAACACCUUUAAUCAAGAUGAGAAGCUAGAGCUGCAGUAACUUGUUCAAAAUUCAGCCCCCCAACUCGUCAAAAUCACCUACAUUUGGGGAUACCAAGUUCUUAAUGGGAAAUACAAUCAGUGAAAAUUAGAGAUUUCAGUGAUUUUUCUUGAAAAGAAAGUGCUUGGCUGUGUUGAAUGGGUACGGAGGAUGACAAUUAAGACAAAGCUAGAGGUGCUUACAAUAAAGGAUAUCAGACCAAGCAGUGCCCGAUUCAGACGGUCCUUUACAAACAUCAUGUGUCGUUUGUGAACCAAUCAUAGCCUGUCUCCACAGAAUAGUCCCUAGUGGAGUUGAAUGAAAAAAACCCAUUCAUGCCAGCGCAGGUUGCUGCCAAUUGUGUAAAUUCUAGAGCGUGUGUGCACAUAAUACCUGUUCCAUCUUUCUAUUAAUGGCUCUUGGUCGUGAAAAGUCAGCCCGCAGCUGCUGCUUGUCUAUUAAACAAUUACAUGUUUGCAGCUGGGAUGGGAGAGAAGGCAAUUAGACCCAGCAACGGACACUAGAUUAAUCUUUACAAAAGAGCUUACCGACAUCACUGACGCACACAAUCGAGCCUUUAAGGUGUAAUCGUAGGGAAUCUUCUUARGUGUGCAACUAUUGGUUCCCCUCUUGUUGCCUGGGCUAACGCCUCAUGUUUGCAAAAACCUAAUGUCCUUCGAUAACAACUGGUAAAAUGAGUGUAUCAUUUUCACAAUUCCAUUUAGCUUUAGAGACAAAGUGGGCCUAUUAAUGCACAUUAGAAAAUCAGGGCGUAUAUCUAGGUUAUCAUGAUCAGUUUGGUGAGACCUAGAGGUACACGUGCCCCCCUAUGUAAGAAGAUACCAUUUAAUUAACCAUGUCCCAUUGUGGGAUGGUCAAUUCUUGAGCAUUACUUACUGAAUGUUCGAUUAUUCAUUGUUAUGAUAUAAGUGAUUUUUUUGGGGAGGUCAUUGCUUUAUACCCAUACUUCAAACACCGAUGUUUUUUCUUCAAAUAUGGUUCCACGUGUGAAAGUUGGUAACAGUAAAACGGUUUGAAGAAGAGAACUCAUUAGUCGUAACACACUUGCUCUUAGGAAACAUGUAGUAGCAAAAAUGUACUAAAAAUGUCCCUUUGGUUAAGUUAGUGGAUGAUUGAUAGCACUCAGGUGAUAAAAUAGGAAACUUGCGACACCCUUCACUCUAGAUGUAUGUCCCCUCAAACACAGGGUCUCGACCAUCACAAAGAAAAACACAUCAACACAUAAACCUUUUGCUUUUUAACACUAUUUAAAGUUUAAACUUCAGCAAGAACAUCAAGGACUCAAAUUAUGUAAAACAAAAGACCUCAGUAUAAACUCAUUAAUGUCUCAUUUGCAUGUAUGAACAAGAGCAUAAACGAAUAGAUAUAUCCCCUGGUGUCCUUUGAAAUCUCCCAUGAUCACACACGGCUAUACACAACAUAAAUGAUAGUGAACUGAUCAAAGAUCACAAACACCUAAAAAUAAUUAUUGACUCCUCGUCGCUCCUUUUGCUUUUUAAUGAAAAACUGAAUUCCAUAUACAUUGUGUAUACGAAUAUUUGUUAUGAAAAGUGACUAUUAAAGUUAUUUACAAGG
Exaiptasia diaphana is the source of this 3092-nucleotide long non-coding RNA. RefSeq lists it as uncharacterized. The transcript is spliced from 2 exons. NCBI's taxonomy places the organism in Eukaryota, Metazoa, Cnidaria, Anthozoa, Actiniaria, Aiptasiidae. The record is from RefSeq and is a predicted model, not a curated record.